RNAcentral lists this ribosomal RNA (458 nucleotides) under uncultured bacterium. RNAcentral describes it as "partial 16S ribosomal RNA". It matches the Rfam family "Bacterial small subunit ribosomal RNA", at positions 338 to 795 of the family's 1533-position model. The record is from RNAcentral.
UCUACGGGUGGCAGCAGUGAGGAAUAUUGGUCAAUGGGCGUAAGCCUGAACCAGCCAAGUCGCGUGAGGGAUGAAGGUUCUAUGGAUCGUAAACCUCUUUUAUAAGGGAAUAAAGUGCGGGACGUGUCCCGUUUUGUAUGUACCUUAUGAAUAAGGAUCGGCUAACUCCGUGCUAGCAGCCGCGGUAAUACGGAGGAUCCGAGCGUUAUCCGGAUUUAUUGGGUUUAAAGGGUGCUUAGGCGGGUUAUCAAGUCAGCGGUAAAUCGUGGAGCUCAACACCAUCCAGCCGUUGAAACUGAUGAUCUUGGGUGGGCGAGAAGUAUGCGGAAUGCGUGGUGUAGCGGUGAAAUGCAUAGAUAUCACGCAGAACUCCGAUUGCGAAGGCAGUAUACCGGCGCCCGACUGACGCUGAAGCACGAAAGCGUGGGUAUCGAACAGGAUUAGAUACCCGGGUAGUC